GUGGAUGCCUUGGCAAUGAUAGGCGACGAAAGACGUGAUAGCCUGCGAUAAGCUUCGGGGAGCUGGCAAAUUAGCUUUGAUCCGGAGAUUUCCGAAUGGGGAAACCCACCUGCAAAGGUAUCGCAUGAUGAAUACAUAGUCAUGCGAGGCGAACCGGGUGAACUGAAACAUCUCAGUAGCUCGAGGAAAAGACAUCAACCGAGAUUCCGAAAGUAGUGGCGAGCGAAAUCGGAAAAGCCUGCAAGUGAUAUCAGGACUCUUAGCAAGACAGCAUGGAAAGGCUGGCCAUAGUGGGUGAUAGCCCCGUAUGCAAAAAGAGACCUGUGGUACUAAGCUUGCGAAAAGUAGGGCGGGACACGAGAAAUCCUGUCUGAAUAUGGGGGGACCAUCCUCCAAGGCUAAAUACUCGUAAUCGACCGAUAGUGAACCAGUACCGUGAGGGAAAGGCGAAAAGAACCCCGGGAGGGGAGUGAAAUAGAUCCUGA
RNAcentral lists this ribosomal RNA (485 nucleotides) under Conticribra weissflogii. RNAcentral describes it as "partial Bacterial large subunit ribosomal RNA". It matches the Rfam family "Bacterial large subunit ribosomal RNA", at positions 24 to 553 of the family's 2925-position model. Lineage: Eukaryota; Bacillariophyta; Thalassiosirophyceae; Thalassiosirales; Thalassiosiraceae. The record is from RNAcentral.